GAUGAACGCUAGCGAUAGGCCUAACACAUGCAAGUCGAGGGGCAUCACAUGAAGUAGCAAUACGGAUGGUGGCGACCGGCGCACGGGUGAGUAACACGUAUGCAACCUGCCUUCAACAAGGGGAUAACCCGUUGAAAGACGGACUAAUACCCUAUAACACAGGGGUCCCGCAUGGGAAUAUUUGUUAAAGGACAACCGGUUGAAGAUGGGUAUGCGUUCCAUUAGCUAGUUGGCGGGGUAACGGCCCACCAAGGCAACGAUGGAUAGGGGAACUGAGAGGUUUAUCCCCCACACUGGUACUGAGACACGGACCAGACUCCUACGGGAGGCAGCAGUGAGGAAUAUUGGUCAAUGGACGCAAGUCUGAACCAGCCACGUCGCGUGAAGGAAGACGGCCCUACGGGUUGUAAACUUCUUUUAUACGGGAAUAAAGUGCCCCACGCGUGGGGUUUUGCAUGUACCGUAUGAAUAAGGAUCGGCUAACUCCGUG
RNAcentral lists this ribosomal RNA (490 nucleotides) under uncultured bacterium. RNAcentral describes it as "bacterial SSU rRNA". It matches the Rfam family "Bacterial small subunit ribosomal RNA", at positions 28 to 507 of the family's 1533-position model. The record is from RNAcentral.